This 284-nucleotide unclassified non-coding RNA is filed under the name Hevea brasiliensis (rubber tree). The record is from RNAcentral. Lineage: Eukaryota; Viridiplantae; Streptophyta; Magnoliopsida; Malpighiales; Euphorbiaceae.
ACUUGGUCCAAGCUUCUCAAAUACUAAGCAAAUAUGGUUACGAUAAUCAAACCAGUUCCUUAAUUGUACACAACGGCUUCCACCCCUAUCAUAUCUUCCUAGCAGCUGAAGCACGUCAAUUUCUACCAUUGCUGCUUCACGAUACUUCUUUAUACUUCGGAUAAUUUUAAUGGCAACAAAUUCCUUCUGCUCUCUGUCCCAGCAUUCUAGAACUUGACCAAAGGUACCUUCACCGAUCUUUUUGAGAAUUUUAUAGCGAGUUGUUAAAUUCUCUCCAAGCUCAA